Non-coding RNA from Triticum urartu, 132 nucleotides. The record is from Rfam. NCBI's taxonomy places the organism in Eukaryota, Viridiplantae, Streptophyta, Magnoliopsida, Poales, Poaceae.
CCGUGAAUUACAGGGCAAUUCUCCUUUGGCACCGGUAACGCAAGGCUGCAUGCAUGCAUGCUCUUUCUGGUGACCAUGCUGAUUAGCCCUAGCCCAGCUAGUGCCAAAGGAGAAUUGCCCUGCGAUUUUGCG